This 776-nucleotide ribosomal RNA is filed under the name uncultured Neocallimastigales. Its description in RNAcentral is "partial large subunit ribosomal RNA". It matches the Rfam family "Eukaryotic large subunit ribosomal RNA", at positions 23 to 634 of the family's 3401-position model. The record is from RNAcentral. Lineage: Eukaryota; Fungi; Neocallimastigomycota; Neocallimastigomycetes; Neocallimastigales.
AGAGAGAGACAUGCGCGCAUAUCAAUAAGCGGAGGAAAAGAAACUAACUAGGAUUCCCUCAGUAACGGCGAGUGAAGCGGGAAGAGCUCAAAUUUGAAAUCUUCAAGGUUUUACCUUGACGAAUUGUAGUUUAAAGAAGUGUUUUCUGCUGGAAGUUUUGGUAAAAGUUCUUUGGAAUAGGACAUCAUAGGAGGGUGAGAAUCCCGUAUUUGACCAUUAUUUCCAGCUUUGUGAUACACUUUCAAAGAGUCGGAUUGUUUGGGAAUGCAGUCCAAAAUGGGUGGUAAAUUUCAUCUAAAGCUAAAUAUUGGCGAGAGACCGAUAGCGAACAAGUACCGUGAGGGAAAGAUGAAAAGAACUUUGAAAAGAGAGUUAAACAGUACGUGAAAUUGUCAAAAGGGAAGCGUUUGACACCAGUGUUGUUUUCUCGAAAAUCAAUUAAAAAUGGCUCGAUUUUGUAUUGUUGAGACCUUAAAAGCUCACUGUACAUUUUUCGUGUCUUUUUUAAUGCACUUUUCGUUUAACAAGUCAACAUCAGUUUCUUUUGUUGUAAAAGGGUCAUUGGAAGGUGGCUUUCUUUUCGGAGAAAGUGUUUAUAGCCUUUGGCCUCUGCAAUCGGAGAGACUGAGGUCUGCAGCGUAGACUCUUCGGGGUUAGAUACAUUUGUGCUAAGUUAUAGCUUUUUAUAGACAACUUGUUGACUAUAAUUAGUCUUGUAGCUUACUCGCUUAUGCUAUUUUACCUACGCUUAGGAUGUUGAAGAUGUAGCACAUCAU